This 253-nucleotide ribosomal RNA is filed under the name uncultured bacterium. RNAcentral describes it as "partial 16S ribosomal RNA". It matches the Rfam family "Bacterial small subunit ribosomal RNA", at positions 524 to 776 of the family's 1533-position model. The record is from RNAcentral.
UACGUAGGGUGCGAGCGUUAAUCGGAAUUACUGGGCGUAAAGCGUGCGCAGGCGGUUUUGUAAGACAGAUGUGAAAUCCCCGGGCUCAACCUGGGAACUGCGUUUGUGACUGAAUGGCUGGAGUGCGGCAGAGGGGGGUAGAAUUCCACGUGUAGCAGUGAAAUGCGUAGAGAUGUGGAGGAAUACCGAUGGCGAAGGCAGCCCCCUGGGUCAGCACUGACGCUCAUGCACGAAAGCGUGGGGAGCAAACAGG